RNAcentral lists this ribosomal RNA (253 nucleotides) under uncultured bacterium. RNAcentral's name for it is "partial 16S ribosomal RNA". It matches the Rfam family "Bacterial small subunit ribosomal RNA", at positions 524 to 776 of the family's 1533-position model. The record is from RNAcentral.
UACGUAGGGGGCAAGCGUUGUCCGGAAUCAUUGGGCGUAAAGAGCGUGUAGGCGGCUCGAUAAGUCCGCUGUGAAAGUCCAGGGCUCAACCCUGGAAGGCCGGUGGAAACUGUCGGGCUAGAGUCCGGAAGAGGCGAGUGGAAUUCCCGGUGUAGCGGUGGAAUGCGCAGAUAUCAGGAGGAACACCGAUGGCGAAGGCAGCUCGCUGGGACGGUACUGACGCUGAGGCGCGAAAGCGUGGGGAGCGAACAGG